Molecule: transfer RNA, 77 nt
Filed under: bacterium
Lineage: Bacteria
Description: tRNA-Trp
Rfam family: tRNA
About the family: Transfer RNA (tRNA) molecules are approximately 80 nucleotides in length. Their secondary structure includes four short double-helical elements and three loops (D, anti-codon, and T loops).
Source: RNAcentral
GGGACAGUAGCUCAACUGGUUAGAGCGUCGGUCUCCAAAACCGAAGGCUCGGGGUUCGAUUCCUCGCUGUCCCGCCA